This 93-nucleotide non-coding RNA is filed under the name Subdoligranulum variabile. RNAcentral's name for it is "SAM riboswitch (S box leader)". It matches the Rfam family "SAM riboswitch aptamer (S box leader)". Rfam says of the family: The SAM riboswitch is found upstream of a number of genes which code for proteins involved in methionine or cysteine biosynthesis in Gram-positive bacteria. The SAM riboswitch acts at the level of transcription termination control. The predicted structure consists of a complex stem-loop region followed by a single stem loop terminator region. Lineage: Bacteria; Bacillati; Bacillota; Clostridia; Eubacteriales; Oscillospiraceae. RNAcentral also lists the same sequence under 1 other name. The record is from RNAcentral.
CUUAUCAAGAGUGGCUGAGGGAACAGGCCCGAUGAAGCCCGACAACCUGCUGUACAGCAAGGUGCCAAGUCCUGCGGGGAACCGAAAGAUAAG